Non-coding RNA from Trichuris suis (pig whipworm), 91 nucleotides. NCBI's taxonomy places the organism in Eukaryota, Metazoa, Nematoda, Enoplea, Trichinellida, Trichuridae. The record is from Rfam.
CCUCUGAUAGCUCAGUUGGCAGAGCGGUGGACUGUAGUGUUCAUAAAACAUGGGCAUCCAUAGGUCGCUGGUUCAAAUCCGGCUCAGAGGA